GUUAGCCAGGAGAGUCUCCAUCUCCUGACCUCGUGAUCCACCCACCUCGGCCUCCCAAAGUGCUGGGACUACAGGCGUGAGCCACCGUGCCUAGCCUAACAAUCCUUUUCAUUUUGUUUUACGGUUUAUAAACUGCUAGCACUUUUUAGCUAUUUGAUCUUGAGAAACCCAGUAAGAUAAACAGGAAAAGUACUAACAGAUGUGUGAUCCACGUAAACGGUGCCCUUCCUGCCCAUUACAGGGAGAAAGAUCCACUGAGAAAUCAGGCCGUGAACAGGGCUGGAGUCUCAAGAGGUAUUGACUUGGUGGAGUCUCUGUGGACUCGGCUCUCUCCCAAACACAGUUCCUGGAAGAACAGGAAUUGGGGUUCUUUUGUGCAUUGGCACUUUGUGAAACCUUUGAGGGAGGGUAAUGCUGGAGGGAAAUGUGAAUUCUCUAGGUGGCUGUGUCUAAAUUACCUUAAAGGAGAGCCAUUGUAACUUUUUCUUACGGUGUGAAAGGAAGUGCUCGUGACCAUUUUCUAAAGAUGUGCACUGGUCGAUUUUUUCUCAUGUGCUGUCAUCUAUUUAAUACCUCCACAGGGUUAUCCUUCACAGCCCUGUUGAUAACAUUUUCCAUUAUUCAUCCCUGCUGCUACUAGCUUCAUCCGAGCCUGUGUUGUUUCUGGCCUAAUAACAGCACCAGCCUCCUUGCUGCCAUUCCCUCCCUUCAGCUGGGCUUCCUUCCAGUCCAUCCUUGGCAUUGCUACUGCAGUCAUCUUUCUAAUCAGGCCACUGCCCUGCCGAAAGCCUCCUGCCCCCCACUCCCCCGGAACCCGCCCCUCAGCCCUCACACUCCCCUUCUACCUGCCUCGGUUUGAGGUUGACUCACUCCUGUAGAUUCCCACAGUAGAUUUUGUUUGCCUUUACCAAACCACUUCUCAGCCACACAGCCUUGCAAAAUCUACCUCAGAGGAGUUGUGAGAAUCGAGUGAGUUACAUGUAAAAUGCUUAGAACCAUGCCUCGUAUGUUGUGACCACUUCAGAAGCCUCAUCUGUUGAUUACAAGACUGGCAUCACGCUCGCGUGUCUCCCUCACCUGACUACAUUCUUGAGAUCAGGGAAUAUGCCUUCUAUUUGUGUGUCCUCUGUAGUACCUGGUACAGAGAACUCAAAAACUGUCAAAGGAAUGAUUAAAUGUUGCCAAGAAGUGGUCAUAAGCUCCAUGUACGACAGUGCUUACAGGUACUUACCCGGGAACUUUAGGACAGAAUACCUAGAAUUAUUUUCAUCAGACUGCCUGAUGAUUAGCCUCAACUCUCACUUCAGCAAAUGUCUCAGAGUCUCACUCGUUUUUAAAUGAGGGUCUGAAAUAGGCUGUAGGAGUUAUGAAUUAAUACUAACUUUAAUCCUCAGAACAACUGCUAUCAGCCUGGCUAGACUUUCCCCGAACUGUUCUUUAGGACACUGGCAUCUGCCGUUUUUCUCCCCUUCACCUGGUUUCCUCAUCCAUUAAGUUCAUAUUAAGUAUCCCUUCUUAAGGAAGCUCUCCCAGAGCCUUUCCUGCUAGGUUGAGACUUUGUAUUAUGUUCACAUAACAUCCUGCGCUUCUAUUACUAAUGUAACUGACUAAACAGCUGGACUAAACCCCAUUACAGAAAUACAACUGAUAGAAAUAACUGAUUGCCCUGAGAGAAACACCAAAAAGUAUACUUUGGAAAUUUGAAGAAGUGGGAGACCUGGCUGGAGGGGUGAGGGAAGGUAGCAUGGCAGAGGCACCACUUGAGCUGGGUCUUCCUUGGGAAGAGAUGUAGGAUUUGUACAGACAAGUGACGGAGAAGGAGAUGACUCCGGGAAGCAAUACGCAGCCUCAGAGGUUGAGGGAACAGAAGGAGUGUAGCUUGCUGAGCCUUGCAGGAUCCCUGAAGGGAAAGAGUGGAAGAAAACCUUGUAAACUAGACUAGCACCAGGUCAGAGAAGGCCUGAAGAACUGCAGCUAUAUUUGGUAGGAAAUCGAGAAUCGUCUCACAUUUUCGAGCACAGAAACAUCAGAGCCCUCUCUAGAAAUAUUAAAAGCAGAUUAAAGGGAUGCAUACGGACUUAACUGAGACCCCUGAGUUACAACAGAACUUCGGGUAAGAACCCAGAAGAAGGGGAUGGGAGUAGGGCUGGAGAGGAAGGGAUGUGUGUUCGUGACAUCGGGGCUGACGGAGACGUGGUAGGUGGGGAGAGUGGGGAGAGGCGGACCUGAUCUUCAGUCCAGGUGUCCUCUGUGCACCGUAGAGAAUAGCUGCUGCAUUCUAAGCUGUAGCAACACCAAGUGUGUGGCCUUAAACGCUUAGGCAACCUCCCUUUUCUGUUGUUGGUUUCUUUGAGAGGGAACUGUCUGAGAGAAAAUGGAGCAAGAAUUAGGCCAAGUUCAAGAGUUGGGCUUCAGAAUUAGGCUAAAGGAGAGAUUCCCCGCGUCGCUAAUCCCAGCACUUUGGGAGGCUGAGGUGGGUGGAUCACCUGAGGUCAGGACUUUGAGACCAGCCUGGCCAACGUGGUAAAACCCCAACUUUACUAAAAGUACAAAAAAAUAGCCGGGCGUGGUGGC
This 2574-nucleotide long non-coding RNA is filed under the name Homo sapiens (human). RNAcentral's name for it is "HSALNT0183404". Lineage: Eukaryota; Metazoa; Chordata; Mammalia; Primates; Hominidae. The record is from RNAcentral.